Molecule: ribosomal RNA, 465 nt
Filed under: uncultured bacterium
Lineage: Bacteria
Description: partial 16S ribosomal RNA
Rfam family: Bacterial small subunit ribosomal RNA
Source: RNAcentral
CCUACGGGAGACAGCAGUAGGGAAUCUUCCACAAUGGGCGAAAGCCUGAUGGAGCAACGCCGCGUGGGUGAAGAAGGUCUUCGGGUCGUAAAAUACUGUUGUUAGAGAAGAAAGUGCUAGAGAGUAUCUGUUCACGUUUCGACGGUAUCUAACCAGAAAGCCACGGCUAACUACGUGCCAGCAGCCGCGGUAAUACGUAGGUGGCAAGCGUUAACCGGAAUUAUUGGGCGUAAAGGGAACGCAGGCGGUCUAUUAAGUCUGAUGUGAAAGCCUCGGGCUUAACCGGGGUAGUGCAUGUGAAACUGGGAGACUAGAGUGCAGUAGAGGAGAGUGGAACUCCAUGUGUAGCGGUGAAAUGCGUAGAGAUAUGGAAGAAUACCAGUGGCGAAGGCGGCCCCCUGGACAGUGACUGACGCUGAGGUGGGAAAGCGUGGGUAGCAAACAGGAUUAGAUACCCCUGUAGUC